Molecule: ribosomal RNA, 743 nt
Filed under: uncultured bacterium
Lineage: Bacteria
Description: bacterial SSU rRNA
Rfam family: Bacterial small subunit ribosomal RNA
Source: RNAcentral
AGUGGCGGACGGGUGAGUAACACGUAGGUAACCUGCCCCGGAGCGGGGGAUAACAUUUGGAAACAGAUGCUAAUACCGCAUAACAACAAAAGCCACAUGGCUUUUGUUUGAAAGAUGGCUUUGGCUAUCACUCUGGGAUGGACCUGCGGUGCAUUAGCUAGUUGGUAAGGUAACGGCUUACCAAGGCGAUGAUGCAUAGCCGAGUUGAGAGACUGAUCGGCCACAAUGGAACUGAGACACGGUCCAUACUCCUACGGGAGGCAGCAGUAGGGAAUCUUCCACAAUGGGCGCAAGCCUGAUGGAGCAACACCGCGUGAGUGAAGAAGGGUUUCGGCUCGUAAAGCUCUGUUGUUGGAGAAGAACGUGCGUGAGAGUAACUGUUCACGCAGUGACGGUAUCCAACCAGAAAGUCACGGCUAACUACGUGCCAGCAGCCGCGGUAAUACGUAGGUGGCAAGCGUUAUCCGGAUUUAUUGGGCGUAAAGCGAGCGCAGGCGGUUGCUUAGGUCUGAUGUGAAAACCUUCGGCUUAACCGAAGAAGUGCAUCGGAAACCGGGCGACUUGAGUGCAGAAGAGGACAGUGGAACUCCAUGUGUAGCGGUGGAAUGCGUAGAUAUAUGGAAGAACACCAGUGGCGAAGGCGGCUGUCUGGUCUGCAACUGACGCUGAGGCUCGAAAGCAUGGGUAGCGAACAGGAUUAGAUACCUUGGUAGUCCAUGCCGUAAACGAUGAGUGCUAGGUGU